CGAGCCAACACUCUGUCGACAUGAGCUUGAGGAUAGCGAAGAAAACUACUCGAUCGAAGCGCUCAUCCUAGACGAAUCGAAAAGUUUCAGGUAAUCCCCAGACUUAACUUUGGAUGACGUCACGGGAGACUCAGAUUUCACAGUUUUAAAACACUAUAUUAUGGUUUUAUUCUAUGUGUUUAAACCGGGCAUUUCGGACUCUAUUGUGGUUUAUUAAUUUUUGGAUAUUUUAUGUUUGUUUAGUUUACAA
Gossypium arboreum is the source of this 250-nucleotide long non-coding RNA. RefSeq lists it as uncharacterized. The record is from RefSeq and is a predicted model, not a curated record. NCBI's taxonomy places the organism in Eukaryota, Viridiplantae, Streptophyta, Magnoliopsida, Malvales, Malvaceae. The transcript has 2 exons.